GCUUUUUGGAGAAAUAAAACCUAUCCCGCUUGAAGUUGAGCAAUACUUCUCAAAGGUAGGUUCUUCCAGAAUCAAAGGUUGAAGCUGUUUCUUAUGUACUCGAGUGUCCAGUGAUAGUGUUCAUCAACUCCAAAAGCAGAGGAUCCAACUAGCGAGGGCAAUAUAUAAUGAUUCAGAUGUGUAUUUUCUAGAUGAUCCCUUUAGUGCAGUAGAUGCACAUACAACUGCAAUUCUUUUCUAUGAAUGCGUCAUGGCUGCCCUUGCUCAUAAAAUCGUCAUUCUAAUGACUCAUCAAGUGGAAUUUCUCUCUGAAGUCAAUAAAAUUCUGGUUGUGGAAGCUAGACAGAUAACUCAAUCAGGAAGCUAUGAGGAGCUUUUGACAUCCGAGACAACAUUUGAGCAGCUUGUAAAUGCAUAUAAGAAUGCAGUAACAGUACUGGAAUUUCCAAAUGAUGUACAAGUAGAACCUCAAAAAUUGAAUCGGAAUCUACUAAAGAAGUCUCAUGGAUUUCUCUCCACCAAAGAAAACAGCGAAUGAGAGAUUUCUAUGAAGGGAUUGCCUGGGGUUCAGCUAACCAAAGAACAAGAAACAGAGAUUGGUGAUGUUGGGUAGAAGCCACAAUCUUGAAUCAUUAUUGUAUAGGGAAUAGAAUCUUGUUGCUGAUACAUUUUCAAUUUUAACUGUUACAACAGCAUCUGAAACUAUUAUAUCUUGUGUUCUUAAGUUUA
Long non-coding RNA from Vitis riparia (riverbank grape), 729 nucleotides. RefSeq lists it as uncharacterized. NCBI's taxonomy places the organism in Eukaryota, Viridiplantae, Streptophyta, Magnoliopsida, Vitales, Vitaceae. The record is from RefSeq and is a predicted model, not a curated record. The transcript is spliced from 2 exons.